UUUCCUCCAUUGAUAUAUACAAAUUUUCUGCUCAUUUUGUCUUUUUGGUCUCACGUAACAUAUAAUAGUAAAAGGAAAAGACUUCUCUUAUAGAUUAUAUAGAAAAUACUUAUAUACAAUUAUAUACAAUUAUAUACAAAAUAAAUAUAUAAAUACAGAACCCGUCGUAAAAAUAAAUUAGUAUUCUUCGGAAAUUCUCGGUAAGAAAGAAGGGGAUGUAUUUUUUUUUUCUGUUUUAAGAAAAGGAAAAUCUUAUUUCCAAAAUCAUUGUACAUUUCAAUUUGAAUUAGGAAUUAUGUGUCCAACUCUAAGCAGCCCUUAACUACAUAUGCAUCUGAUCAUAUAUGUAUUAUCUAUUCCAACAAAUAAUACAAAAGAAGGAGGUUUUUCAAUGCGAGAUCUAAAAACAUAUCUCUCUGUGGCACCAGUACUAAGUACGCUAUGGUUCGGGGCUUUAGCAGGUCUAUUGAUAGAGAUUAAUCGUUUUUUCCCGGAUGCGUUGACAUUCCCCUUUUUUUCAUUCUAGUUAUUGUCAUGGGAAGGAAUGAAGAAAAUUAGAGAUCCAAUCAAAUAUUGGUGAUGAAUCCCUCUCCCCCUCUUUUCUCUUUUUUCCCUUUUUAGAAUAAGGGAGGAAAGAGAAAGAAUAAAAAAGUGGAUUCAACAUUCGGGCUCAAGUUCGAAUUAACUGAAUAUUAAUCAUAGAGGAAUGGGGGUAGAAUAGAAAAUGGGGGUCUAGGGCGAGAGUAUUAUACAAGAUACUUAAAUGAUUACUUAAAUUUGCAAUAUACUUUAGAAAAAUCGUUGUAUUUUACUAUGACUUUGCUUUACUAUUACUUUAUUUUCUUAAUUUUAAUCUUUUACUUUUAGAAUUGGAUUUCAAGUUAGUAACUUCUAUUUUAUCCUUUCUUCGUUUUGAAUCGAAAAUAGAAGAGUUGAGUAAAUCAAAAAUCCAAAGGAGGUUCAUGGCCAAGGGGAAAGAUGUCCGAGUAACGGUGAUUUUGGAAUGUACUAGUUGUGUCCGAAACAGUGUUGAUAAGGUAUCAAGAGGUAUUUCCAGAUAUAGUACUCAAAAGAACCGGCACAAUACGCCUAAUCGAUUAGAAUUGAAAAAAUUCUGUCCCUAUUGUUACAAACAUACGAUUCAUGGGGAGAUAAAAAAAUAGAGCGAACCAAGUACCUGUGCCUUACCCUUUCAAGGAAGGGGAAAAAAUGACAUUAUAUAUAACAUAUUUAAAUAGAAACUAAACAAAUCCUAUUUUUCUAAAAUCCUAUUUUAUUUUGGGUGGAUUUAAAAUGAAUUAGAAUUAAGAAAUAGGAUUUUAGGGAUAAGGAAUAAAUUAAACAAACAAACCAUGGAUAAAUCCAAGCGACCUUUUCUUAAAUUCAAGCGAUCUUUUCGUAGGCGUUUGCCCCCGAUUCAAUCGGGGGAUCGAAUUGAUUAUAGAAACAUGAGUUUAAUUAGUCGAUUUAUUAGUGAACAAGGAAAAAUAUUAUCAAGACGCGUGAAUAGAUUGACCUUGAAACAACAACGAUUAAUUACUCUUGCUAUAAAACAAGCCCGUAUUUUAUCUUUGUUACCUUUUCUCAAUAAUGAGAAACAAUUUGAAAGAACCGAGUCGACCGCUAGAACUACUGGUUUUAAAGCCCGAAAUAAAUAGGCUUACCUUUUCUUUACUUGAAUCAUAAUUACUCAAAUCUAGAUUCACUCAAAUCUAGAUUUGAGUAUCGUGUCGUAAGAAACAAAUGAAUCGGAAAAAACGAAAUCUGUUUUUAUUGAAUUGAACGUGUUCAUUCAUUUUGACUACUUUAGCAUAUUUUCUCAUACUAAUUUCUAACUCGUCCGGUAGAAGAAACCUCCAUUUAUUCUCAGGAGAGCCUGGGGAGUUUUUAAAGCCUCCGGUAAAGCCUCCGGUAAAGACUCCGGUAAAGACUCCGGGUUGAUUUUGUUCAAAAUCAUAUAAAGACAAUUCCUAUUUGAUAUAGCUAUUUGUGCAAGUAUUUUACGGUUAAGAAGCAACCGUCUAUUGUACAGAUUGUGUAUUAAUUUACUAUAACUAUGGGAGACUCCCCCUUUGCGAAUUGCUGCGUUUAUCCGAGUGAUCCACAAACGACGAAAAUCUCUCUUUUUCCUACCCCUAUCCCGAUCAGCCGAAACUAAAGCUCUUAUUUUCUGUUGAGUAAUAGUUCUAGUAAGCCUUGAAUGAGCCCCUCGAAAGCUUGAUGCAAAUAAACGAAUUUUUGUUCUACGUCUCCGAGCUAUAUAUCCCCGUUUAAUUCUGGUCAUUGAAUAAAUGAAACUUUGACGAAUAACUAAUUGAUUACCUUUCUUUCAGUUAUUCUUUUCCCCCUUCCUAGUCUAUUAAUAACAAAACGGAUUUUUCCAAUGUAUAAAAUAAAAAUUCCAAUGGCUUUGGCUACUCUAACCUUCCCGACCACGAUUUUGUUAUUUUUUUUUUUUUUAGGUAUUUCACUGCGAAAUAAGAAAGAAAUAAGAAAUUGUAUUUUCCUAGGUAUCAAAAAUAUAGUAAAUAAAAGAAAUAAAAAAAGAAAUAGUGGGUUCCUUCGUUUCUAUGGUUACUUCUUAAACGGUGAGGUCUUCUCUAUACACCGGAGCCUUUACUUUAGACUUUAAUUUAAUAUAUAUUUAAUCAACUAAUUGAUGUUAUUGGGAACUUGUAUAGUUCACACGCUUUGGCUCUACCCAUGAAUUAUCCAGUAAUAGGUCUUUCACAAUCAGAUCUACCUAUACAGUAACGGUAUUUUUUAGGGAUAUAGAAUAAAUUAAACAAACAAACCAUGGAUAAAUCCAAGCGACCUUUUCUUAAAUUCAAGCGAUCUUUUCAUAGGCGUUUGUCCCCGAUUCAAUCGGGGGAUCAAAU
Molecule: long non-coding RNA, 2879 nt
Filed under: Capsicum annuum
Lineage: Eukaryota; Viridiplantae; Streptophyta; Magnoliopsida; Solanales; Solanaceae
Description: long non-coding RNA (CANN_LNC020323)
Source: RNAcentral